UUCAUAUACUUGAGCUCAAACCUGUCACCCUACACAUUUCAUUCACAUCUUUUUCUUUCAUAUCUGUACUAUCCUAUUAUAAUAAGGACCUAAAAAAAUGAAAAAAAAAAAAAAAAAGAACUGAUACAAACUUUACCUAAGAUUUGAUAGAUGUUUAAAAUAACUUUAAAAUGUCUCAACGCAAAAGCAGUGAUGUAGUGGUGCCUGAAGAAGUGGGUAUAUGCAUAAUUUAUAAUAUAUGUUUGUGUGUGUGUGUGUGUAAUUAACACAAUCAACGUCCAGAAACAUGGCAAGGAGAUUGGUAAUGUGACAUCCAUGUGACAUCAGGGGUUUAACAGUAUACAACACAUUGAUUAAUAGCGAUAUUUAUGUGUUGUGCACGCCUAAACUUUUUCUCAGAACGAUAUUUUCUUUCACUCGCAAUGCGCAGCAGCCAGGAAAGUUGUUUUUAUCAAGGAAAAAGGAGAAAGUAAGUGUUUUAUCUCAUUUACAUUAUGUAUUUUAUAAGAUAAUAUUACUUUAUAAAGAUAUUUGUAUGCUGUAUGCCCUAAACAAGCCUAAACGUUUCUCACAGAUUUGAAUUGCUAUGCAGUGUGGAGUACGGAGGUCGCUUUUACCAGAUUUGCUAUGUAAUGCUGAUGGAGGUCACUUUUAACAGGGAAACACUAGAAGAGAUGAUGUGCUUGAAGAGUAUGAAUCCACCAAUACAUUAAGUGGGAUGAGAAGAGUUUUGUUAGGACACAUAACAGAGACAUGGGAGGAGUCCAACUUCAAUGUAGAGAGAGAUCAGUACGCACUUGGAAUUAUGACUUUGUCGCUGACGUUAAAAGACCAAUUUUCCAGUCACUGUAGCCACCCAGAUCCAGACUGUAUCCAGGUCAAAUGGUCACUGCAGGUACCCGGAUAUAGUCCGUACCCAGCCCAGAUGGUGGAUCAGCACCUAGAGAUGAUCUCUACAGCCCUGAAUGUCAGCGGAGACCAGGACAAAUAGAUGAGCGCCAGAGACUGAUCCCAUCUGAAGACCUUGUCACCUAGAUGGCAAUCCGGACAAGACCACAGGAACCAGAUGAGUUCUCUGCACAAACUUUGUUGCAAGGAGCACUUUUGUGAUGCUGCAAGUGAGAAUGUAUAUCUUGCUUGGCUGAAAACUGCAGAGAAACGCAUCUUGUCAUGCUGAAAACAAAAAAUGAGACUAUACUCUCUUCAAGGAGGUCCAAACACCAUUAGCAAAGACUGUUGUUGUCAUUAUAAACCUUAUGACAUUAAGAGUACAUAAUAUGCACCACAUUAUAAUAUGUAUUUUGUGCCUUUGCAUUGAUAUGCCUUGACAUUAUGAUGUUUUAAUUGUUGUAAGAACAUGUUUUUACAUGUAUUGAAAACACUGAAUGUGAAGAAAUUUUGUUGCAGGGAAAAUUAUACGUUUCAUUUUGUAAAUAAAUUUAAAUGUGCAUUGUUUUGUGUGUUUUUUUUCCACCUGAACAUUGUUGCUGUUGACCAGUUAAUCCAACUUUGGUAUUUUCAUCAUCCAUUCUGGUGUUAAUAUUUUACAUGUUAAAAGUUUGUUAGUAACACUGUCAGGGUGUUAAUAAUGUUAACUCUUUCAAAAGUGUUUACCGCUGGUAAAGUUUACAGAGGUUCACCGGUUUAAGAAAUUUCUGAUCGUAAAAACCUGCUUCUUUUCACUUUCAAGGUAUUGUUUUAGCUAUAAAUGUACUGAUUCAAAUUAGUAAUCAAUAAUAAUGAUUAUUUUACACUCUGCGCGCCUCCCCUAACAUGCUCUCGUGUAUUAACACGCAGAAUGGAGUAGGGGGACGGAGCGGGCGCGGGCGCAGCAGGCUCAAUCAUUAAACGUUUCAAAGGAAGCAUCAUCACUGUCUUUACUGUUUGAUUUUAGGGAAUAUUUGCAUUUAUUCACACGCAACUAAAGUAGCUAUUCAUGUGGUGGACUGUCAGGACACUACUGAAUGAUGCGCAUUUAUAAGUAGGAAUAGGCAAAGCCGACUGAUAAAGUCUGUCGUAUCAAGCUCCUAUUUGAGUCCUACAUUAGUGGCUUGGUAUUUGAUUUUUGAUUUUUUGCUAUUUUAUUGUUCUCUGUUUAGACCUGUGCCUGCCGCACAUCAUUCUCUGGCCCCGGACUGUCUGUCUGGUUUUGACUUGUGUCUAAGUCGCUCUCGUCUGCGCUCCCCUGCCCGCUGUAUUCUCCAGUCCGGAGUCCGCCUCAUCGGCCGGUGACCUGCUGCUGCUUUUCUUUUUGUUUGUCAGCAAACGUUCUCAAAUGCCUUUUUUCCAUGUAUGCAAUGUUUUAAUAAAGUUGGAUUAUA
This is a long non-coding RNA of Labeo rohita (rohu), 2321 nucleotides long. RefSeq lists it as uncharacterized. NCBI's taxonomy places the organism in Eukaryota, Metazoa, Chordata, Actinopteri, Cypriniformes, Cyprinidae. The transcript is spliced from 6 exons. The record is from RefSeq and is a predicted model, not a curated record.